RNAcentral lists this ribosomal RNA (457 nucleotides) under uncultured bacterium. Its description in RNAcentral is "partial 16S ribosomal RNA". It matches the Rfam family "Bacterial small subunit ribosomal RNA", at positions 28 to 523 of the family's 1533-position model. The record is from RNAcentral.
GAUGAACGCUGGCGGCGUGCCUAAUACAUGCAAGUCGAGCGGAAAGGCCCUUCGGGGUACUCGAGCGGCGGACGGCUGAGUAACGCGUAGGAACGUACCCCAAAGUGAGGGAUAACUGCUCGAAAGAGUAGCUAAUACCGCAUGUGCUCUUCGGAGUAAAGCUUCGGCGCUUUGGGAACGGCCUGCGUCCUAUUAGCUAGUUGGUGAGGUAAUUGCUCACCAAGGCGACGAUAGGUAGCUGGUCUGAGAGGAUGAUCAGCCAGACUGGGACUGAGACACGGCCCAGACUCCUACGGGAGGCAGCAGUAGGGAAUUUUCGACAAUGGGCGAAAGCCUGAUGGAGCAACGCCGCGUGCAGGAUGAAUGCCUUCGGGUUGUAAACUGCUUUUAUAGGUGAAGAAUAUGACGGUAACCUAUGAAUAAGGAUCGGCUAACUCCGUGCCAGCAGCCGCAGUAA